CUUAAAAUUGAAGAAAUGAGUAAAAAGGAUAAGAAAAUCUCAUCUAAAGUCUUCAAAUCUUCAAUUCCCAAGUGUAAGUGCAAGAACCCUAGAUUCAAUGCUUGUAUUUCAGUCAAGAAUGUCAAAUAUGUGCCAAAGAUGAGCUAGGUCGAGUUUUUGUGGGUUUGGGAUCAAGAAAAUAUGAAAUGGCAAAUUUGCCCAGAACUGAAGCAUGUUGGCCGCGUGCGAAGUCUUGUGAGAAAUUGGCAUUCCGCAGAAGCGGACUUUGAAACGCAGAAGCGCUUACGCAGAUACGGUCAACAAGCGCAGAGGCGACUCCGUAGAUGCGGAGGAACUUGCGCAGAUUUAGACAUUGGUACCAGUAGAGUCUCGAGAGGUGCUUAGCAAACACCUGACAGAUGAUUCGAGGUAGAGCUGCAUGCCGUUUGCAGGCCUUAGAGUCAUCUUUUCAUUUCUAAUGUACUGUUUCUAUUUUUCAGAUAGUAUUGUAUUUCUUUCAAGACAAUGUAUUUAGCAAACUCUAGUAGCUCAUGUACGUGUGACUCCACGUCUUGGGGUAGUUAAUCGUUACUGUUGAUAUUUAGCUUUUUAUGUAUGUUGUUGAGAUAUUUUUACUCUAUAUUAUCAUUUUGCUGUUAUCCGUUA
Nicotiana tabacum (common tobacco) is the source of this 645-nucleotide non-coding RNA. The record is from RefSeq and is a predicted model, not a curated record. Lineage: Eukaryota; Viridiplantae; Streptophyta; Magnoliopsida; Solanales; Solanaceae.